ACACACACACACACACACACACACGUGUGUGUGUGUGUGUGUGUGUGU
Molecule: microRNA precursor, 48 nt
Filed under: Podarcis lilfordi (Lilford's wall lizard)
Lineage: Eukaryota; Metazoa; Chordata; Lepidosauria; Squamata; Lacertidae
Source: RNAcentral